RNAcentral lists this ribosomal RNA (2902 nucleotides) under Escherichia coli. RNAcentral's name for it is "bacterial LSU rRNA". It matches the Rfam family "Bacterial large subunit ribosomal RNA". The record is from RNAcentral. Lineage: Bacteria; Pseudomonadati; Pseudomonadota; Gammaproteobacteria; Enterobacterales; Enterobacteriaceae.
UUAAGCGACUAAGCGUACACGGUGGAUGCCCUGGCAGUCAGAGGCGAUGAAGGACGUGCUAAUCUGCGAUAAGCGUCGGUAAGGUGAUAUGAACCGUUAUAACCGGCGAUUUCCGAAUGGGGAAACCCAGUGUGUUUCGACACACUAUCAUUAACUGAAUCCAUAGGUUAAUGAGGCGAACCGGGGGAACUGAAACAUCUAAGUACCCCGAGGAAAAGAAAUCAACCGAGAUUCCCCCAGUAGCGGCGAGCGAACGGGGAGGAGCCCAGAGCCUGAAUCAGUGUGUGUGUUAGUGGAAGCGUCUGGAAAGGCGCGCGAUACAGGGUGACAGCCCCGUACACAAAAAUGCACAUGCUGUGAGCUCGAUGAGUAGGGCGGGACACGUGGUAUCCUGUCUGAAUAUGGGGGGACCAUCCUCCAAGGCUAAAUACUCCUGACUGACCGAUAGUGAACCAGUACCGUGAGGGAAAGGCGAAAAGAACCCCGGCGAGGGGAGUGAAAAAGAACCUGAAACCGUGUACGUACAAGCAGUGGGAGCACGCUUAGGCGUGUGACUGCGUACCUUUUGUAUAAUGGGUCAGCGACUUAUAUUCUGUAGCAAGGUUAACCGAAUAGGGGAGCCGAAGGGAAACCGAGUCUUAACUGGGCGUUAAGUUGCAGGGUAUAGACCCGAAACCCGGUGAUCUAGCCAUGGGCAGGUUGAAGGUUGGGUAACACUAACUGGAGGACCGAACCGACUAAUGUUGAAAAAUUAGCGGAUGACUUGUGGCUGGGGGUGAAAGGCCAAUCAAACCGGGAGAUAGCUGGUUCUCCCCGAAAGCUAUUUAGGUAGCGCCUCGUGAAUUCAUCUCCGGGGGUAGAGCACUGUUUCGGCAAGGGGGUCAUCCCGACUUACCAACCCGAUGCAAACUGCGAAUACCGGAGAAUGUUAUCACGGGAGACACACGGCGGGUGCUAACGUCCGUCGUGAAGAGGGAAACAACCCAGACCGCCAGCUAAGGUCCCAAAGUCAUGGUUAAGUGGGAAACGAUGUGGGAAGGCCCAGACAGCCAGGAUGUUGGCUUAGAAGCAGCCAUCAUUUAAAGAAAGCGUAAUAGCUCACUGGUCGAGUCGGCCUGCGCGGAAGAUGUAACGGGGCUAAACCAUGCACCGAAGCUGCGGCAGCGACGCUUAUGCGUUGUUGGGUAGGGGAGCGUUCUGUAAGCCUGUGAAGGUGUGCUGUGAGGCAUGCUGGAGGUAUCAGAAGUGCGAAUGCUGACAUAAGUAACGAUAAAGCGGGUGAAAAGCCCGCUCGCCGGAAGACCAAGGGUUCCUGUCCAACGUUAAUCGGGGCAGGGUGAGUCGACCCCUAAGGCGAGGCCGAAAGGCGUAGUCGAUGGGAAACAGGUUAAUAUUCCUGUACUUGGUGUUACUGCGAAGGGGGGACGGAGAAGGCUAUGUUGGCCGGGCGACGGUUGUCCCGGUUUAAGCGUGUAGGCUGGUUUUCCAGGCAAAUCCGGAAAAUCAAGGCUGAGGCGUGAUGACGAGGCACUACGGUGCUGAAGCAACAAAUGCCCUGCUUCCAGGAAAAGCCUCUAAGCAUCAGGUAACAUCAAAUCGUACCCCAAACCGACACAGGUGGUCAGGUAGAGAAUACCAAGGCGCUUGAGAGAACUCGGGUGAAGGAACUAGGCAAAAUGGUGCCGUAACUUCGGGAGAAGGCACGCUGAUAUGUAGGUGAAGUCCCUCGCGGAUGGAGCUGAAAUCAGUCGAAGAUACCAGCUGGCUGCAACUGUUUAUUAAAAACACAGCACUGUGCAAACACGAAAGUGGACGUAUACGGUGUGACGCCUGCCCGGUGCCGGAAGGUUAAUUGAUGGGGUUAGCGCAAGCGAAGCUCUUGAUCGAAGCCCCGGUAAACGGCGGCCGUAACUAUAACGGUCCUAAGGUAGCGAAAUUCCUUGUCGGGUAAGUUCCGACCUGCACGAAUGGCGUAAUGAUGGCCAGGCUGUCUCCACCCGAGACUCAGUGAAAUUGAACUCGCUGUGAAGAUGCAGUGUACCCGCGGCAAGACGGAAAGACCCCGUGAACCUUUACUAUAGCUUGACACUGAACAUUGAGCCUUGAUGUGUAGGAUAGGUGGGAGGCUUGGAAGUGUGGACGCCAGUCUGCAUGGAGCCGACCUUGAAAUACCACCCUUUAAUGUUUGAUGUUCUAACGUUGACCCGUAAUCCGGGUUGCGGACAGUGUCUGGUGGGUAGUUUGACUGGGGCGGUCUCCUCCUAAAGAGUAACGGAGGAGCACGAAGGUUGGCUAAUCCUGGUCGGACAUCAGGAGGUUAGUGCAAUGGCAUAAGCCAGCUUGACUGCGAGCGUGACGGCGCGAGCAGGUGCGAAAGCAGGUCAUAGUGAUCCGGUGGUUCUGAAUGGAAGGGCCAUCGCUCAACGGAUAAAAGGUACUCCGGGGAUAACAGGCUGAUACCGCCCAAGAGUUCAUAUCGACGGCGGUGUUUGGCACCUCGAUGUCGGCUCAUCACAUCCUGGGGCUGAAGUAGGUCCCAAGGGUAUGGCUGUUCGCCAUUUAAAGUGGUACGCGAGCUGGGUUUAGAACGUCGUGAGACAGUUCGGUCCCUAUCUGCCGUGGGCGCUGGAGAACUGAGGGGGGCUGCUCCUAGUACGAGAGGACCGGAGUGGACGCAUCACUGGUGUUCGGGUUGUCAUGCCAAUGGCACUGCCCGGUAGCUAAAUGCGGAAGAGAUAAGUGCUGAAAGCAUCUAAGCACGAAACUUGCCCCGAGAUGAGUUCUCCCUGACUCCUUGAGAGUCCUGAAGGAACGUUGAAGACGACGACGUUGAUAGGCCGGGUGUGUAAGCGCAGCGAUGCGUUGAGCUAACCGGUACUAAUGAACCGUGAGGCUUAACCUU